RNAcentral lists this transfer-messenger RNA (367 nucleotides) under Ignavibacteriaceae. RNAcentral's name for it is "BMS3ABIN03 sp020354005 Standard tmRNA". It matches the Rfam family "transfer-messenger RNA". From Rfam's summary of the family: Bacterial tmRNA, also known as 10Sa RNA or SsrA, is named for its dual tRNA and mRNA-like properties. Its role is to liberate the mRNA from a stalled ribosome. Lineage: Bacteria; Pseudomonadati; Ignavibacteriota; Ignavibacteria; Ignavibacteriales. RNAcentral also lists the same sequence under 1 other name. The record is from RNAcentral.
GGGGGUGAAAUUGGCUUCGACGGGAUUAAAGAGGCAUUAAACUGCGCACCGUGUUUUCCGCAGACACGUAAAACGGUGGAAAAAACUUUAAUUGGCGAAAACGAAUACGCCUUAGCUGCGUAAAUAAUUACACAGCCGUUCUCUAUUCUCUCUCAUACCGGGGUUUAGAUGAACGACGUUAAGGUAUGAUAGCUGAAUCAGCCGCCCUUGUUGAUAAGGCGAAUCCGCUUUCAGCGGUUUAAUGGGCAGGCUUAAUGUGAUCCUUGUUUGUUUGGUAGCAUUAGGUUAAAACAAAAACAAACUAUGUGUGUAGAAGUUUUUUGGAUCUUAAUUUCGGACGCGGGUUCGACUCCCGCCACCUCCACCC